GCUUUACAAGGAGAACCUGUAGUAUAAUGAGACUUAAACAGAGAAGAUUACUAUGGGCCUUGUACAAGGAUAACAUACAAAUUUAUGAGACAUUCUAUAGCAAA
Molecule: small nuclear RNA, 104 nt
Organism: Sorex fumeus (smoky shrew)
Lineage: Eukaryota; Metazoa; Chordata; Mammalia; Eulipotyphla; Soricidae
Source: RefSeq, a predicted model, not a curated record